RNAcentral lists this ribosomal RNA (1254 nucleotides) under Triticum aestivum (bread wheat). RNAcentral describes it as "partial small subunit ribosomal RNA". Lineage: Eukaryota; Viridiplantae; Streptophyta; Magnoliopsida; Poales; Poaceae. The record is from RNAcentral.
AUGGCCACGGAGGAGUCGCCGCAGCUGUUCCUGUGCCCGAUCUCCAUGGAGCUGAUGGAGGACCCCGUCACGGUGUCCACCGGCGUCACCUACGACCGCCGGAGCAUCGAGCGGUGGUUCUUCAAGUACGGCAAGACCACGUGCCCGGCCACCAUGCAGCGCGUCGCCUCGUUCGACCUCACGCCCAACCACACCCUCAAGCGCGUCAUCGCCUCCUGGCAGGACCGCGCCUCCACCUCCUCCUCCUCUAGCCCCGCGGACGCGCUCAAGCCGAUGCCGCGGGAGCGGCUGCCGUCAGUGCUCGCCGGCAUUGAGGGCACGCCGUUCAAGGUCACGGCGCUCAAGGGCCUCAGGCUCUGCAUGGCCGCGGACCAGGCGGCGCGGGAGGAUUUCGUGGCCUGUGACGGCAUCCAGGUGCUCGGCCGCGUCAUGGCGCAGGCGCUGGCGGAGAGCGGCGCCGGCGGGGACUUCUCGGCCUUCCGGACGUGCGAGGAGGCCGCCGCCGUCCUCGCCACGCUCCCGCUGUCAGACGAGGAGUCGGUGGACCUGGUGCUGAGGCCCGAGUGCAUGAGGCCCAUGGUCGCGCUCGUCCAGCGCGGCAGCGCCGAGGCGAGGCUGCACGCCAUGUCCAUCCUCGCCAAGGUCUCCGAGGCCAGCGGCGCCCGCAACUGGACCGAGGACGUCGACGUCGACGACAUGGUCAAGUCCCUACUCGACCUGCUCUCCGACGGGGCCUCCUCCAAGCUCAGCUCCCGCGCGCUCGACGUGCUCAUCGACGUCACGGCGCGCUCGCGCUCGAGGGGCGGCGCACGGCGCGGCAAGGGCGUGGUGGAGGUGGGGGCCGUGCGGGUGCUCGUGGAGCUCCUCCCGGAGGCCGACCGGCACGUCGCCGAGCGGGCGCUCCUGCUCCUGAAGCGGCUGUGCAAGUGCCCCGAGGGCCGGCUCGCGUUCGCGGAGCACGGGCUCGCCGUGGCGGCCGUGGUGCGGACGACGCUGCGGGUGUCCGGCCUGGCCACGAGGCUGGCGGUCAACGUGCUGUGGCUGGUGUCGUGCGCGGCGCGGCCCACGGAGAGGGUGCUGGACGACAUGGUGGCGAGCGGCGGCGUGGCGAAGCUGCUGGCGCUGCUGCAGGCGGACAGCUCGCCGUCGACCAAGGAGAAGGUGGCGAGGAUGCUCAGGGUGCACGGCGCGUUCUGGAGGCAGUACCCUUGCAUCCCCGCCGACCUCAAGGACUACCUCAAAUUUCUCAAGUGA